RNAcentral lists this unclassified non-coding RNA (341 nucleotides) under Hevea brasiliensis (rubber tree). Lineage: Eukaryota; Viridiplantae; Streptophyta; Magnoliopsida; Malpighiales; Euphorbiaceae. The record is from RNAcentral.
AAAACAUCCAUGAAGUCAACUGCAGUUUGGGGUAAUCUUUCUUGAUUUUCUCCUUAACUAGCGGCCAAGGUCUUUUCUCAACGACUAAUCCAUAGUACAGCAAGAAGAGAAAGUUGUUCCAAGGUGAGGAUGUCACCUGCUCCAGUAACACCUUCUGCGCUAUUGUCUUAUUAUCUUUCCUCCCUUUGAAAAUAAUGUCCAACAACUUGUGCAGGUAGUGCCCAAAAGGUCCACCAUAAGCAAAUCCAAAGGCUAUUUUGAGUAGAAGACGGUUCAACUGGAUCCUCUGAAUACCAGACAGCUUCUGCGCCACCGAGUCGCUCACCCCGGCGAGCACACCG